Molecule: non-coding RNA, 132 nt
Organism: Plectropomus leopardus (leopard coralgrouper)
Lineage: Eukaryota; Metazoa; Chordata; Actinopteri; Perciformes; Serranidae
Source: RefSeq, a predicted model, not a curated record
AAAGACGAGGAUGAAUAGAGGAGAGGUACGUCAGCAGCAGUCCACCAAAGCCCCCUACGAUUGUGUCUGGAGUGGUGACAAAGGGUGAUAAGGACUUCACCCCUGCAGCCGCCCAGGUGGCUCAUCAGAAGC